This 499-nucleotide long non-coding RNA is filed under the name Rattus norvegicus (Norway rat). Its description in RNAcentral is "long non-coding RNA NONRATT025374". Lineage: Eukaryota; Metazoa; Chordata; Mammalia; Rodentia; Muridae. The record is from RNAcentral.
UCAGAACACAACGUCAAUGCCUUUAUUGUCUUGCAGAUAUGCCAGUUGUCGGGUCACAUCUCCUAAUUUCCAAAACACAGGCCAAGAGGUUUAAUUUAACCACAAGUCCCAAACACAGAAAGCUCAAGUUUUACCAAAACCACAUCUUUUCAAUGAAGAAAAAGGAACAUCAGAAAAUGCGCGCGCGCGCGCACACACACACACACACACACACACACACACACACGCCUGCACCGACAUGUGCACGCACACACACACUGGGGGUGGGGUUCACAUGUGUCUGGCUCUCUCCUGCACAACAGCUAAACUGUGACAGGAGAGGCAUACAAACACAUUCUGGAACCUUUUCUUCUGGGACUGACUACUUAGAUUUACCCUCAUAUAUUUAAAGAAGAAUACAAAAUCUUCUUUCAGAACAACUUUUUGCAAAGUAUUUAAUACCACGACCCCCAUUUCUGGAGAAGAUUAGACUUUCUGAUUUUUCCCACCCAAACAGAAG